RNAcentral lists this ribosomal RNA (366 nucleotides) under uncultured organism. Its description in RNAcentral is "bacterial LSU rRNA". It matches the Rfam family "Bacterial large subunit ribosomal RNA", at positions 2099 to 2465 of the family's 2925-position model. The record is from RNAcentral.
CUUUACUGUAGCCUGGUAUUGGGUUCGGGCUUUGACUGCGCAGGAUAGGUGGGAGACUAUGAAGCAAUCCUUGUGGGGGUUGCUGAGUCAACGGUGAGAUACCACUCUGUCAGAGCUAGAAUUCUAACUAAAUGCCGUUAUCCGGCUUUGGACCGUAUCAGGUGGGCAGUUUGACUGGGGCGGUCGCCUCCUAAAAGGUAACGGAGGCGCGCAAAGGUUCUCUCAGGCUGGUUGGAAAUCAGCCGUAGAGUGUAAAGGCAGAAGAGAGCUUGACUGCAAGAGCUACAACUCGAGCAGGGUGGAAACACGGCCUUAGUGAUCCGACGGCGCUGAGUGGAAGGGCCGUCGCUCAACGGAUAAAAGUUA